UUGAAAGGGAAACGAUUGAAGUCAGUCGUACUAACGGGAAUCAACCUUUUGAGGGUGAAUUUGUGGGAUUCAAAGUGCCUUUAUUUUUCUACAAUCUGUCUUUUUUUUGGGUGCAUUUUUCUCGUAAUAUAGGUCUGUAUCGGUUUUGAUCGUUAUAAAAUGACUGGAGGAAUGUGUUAUAGCCUUUGGUAGAUGUAACGGUUGGGAUUGAGGAUUGCAAUGAAUGUCCUUAUGGCUAUCCCGCCUUGUCAUUCUGAUUCCGAAAGCUUGCUUAUGGUAUUAUAGGUGUGCGAUCAAAAAGGUUAGAAUGGAUUAAAUUCGUUAAGGAUGUUGACGUA
RNAcentral lists this ribosomal RNA (338 nucleotides) under uncultured Glomeromycotina. Its description in RNAcentral is "partial large subunit ribosomal RNA". The record is from RNAcentral. Lineage: Eukaryota; Fungi; Glomeromycota.